CGGCACCGCGGACCGGGACCGGGAACACGGACGGGAACCAGCACUAGGACCGGAAUUGGGAUCGGGACCAGGACCACGACGAGGAAGACUAGGACCGGGAUCGUGACUACGAUCAGGACUAAGACCGGGACCGGAAUCGGGACUAGGAGCGGGACCAAGCCUAGGAGUGGGAUCGGAAUCGGGACUAGGAGCGGGACCGAGCCUAGGAGUGGGAUCGGAAUCGGGACUAGGAGCGGGACCGAGCCUAGGAGUGGGAUCGGAAUCGGGACUAGGAGCGGGACCGAGCCUAGGAGUGGGAUCGGAAUCGGGACUAGGAGCGGGACCGAGCCUAGGAGUGGGAUCGGAAUCGGGACUAGGAGCGGGACCGAGCCUAGGAGUGGGAUCGGAAUCGGGACUAGGAGCGGGACCGAGCCUAGGAGUGGGAUCGGAAUCGGGACUAGGAGCGGGACCGAGCCUAGGAGUGGGAUCGGAAUCGGGACUAGGAGCGGGACCGAGCCUAGGAGUGGGACCGAGCCUAGGAGUGGGAUCGGAAUCGGGACUAGGAGCGGGACCCCCCGCCCCACACGGGGCCGCGCGCCGGGGGGGGCGUGUCCGUUCCGCGCGCCGUGCCCCACCCGCCCCCUACCUGGCGAUACCGGAUGUGACGUCAGACGCACGCGCCGGCACGGGGCGGAACCAGGAACCCCGGAUGUGUUGCCAUGGUUACGCCGUGCGUGGCGAGCGGGCCCGGCGCGCCCGCCAUGGCGGCUGGGGGGGGCGCCCCCCCGCCAUGGCGGCUGUGAGGGGCCCACCUACCUGGCCGAGGGUACCAGGCACCACAGUGUCCCUCCCUCCCUCCCCAUCCCUGCUCUGGGACAUUCACAUAACCUUUGAAAAGCUUGGGCUUUUUUGUUGUGCGUUUUGUUUAUUUUGGCAUUUCUUGGUUUUGUUUUGGUGUUUUAUUUUUAUUAACUAAAAUAACCAGACAAGGGACUGGGGGAUUUGAGAAAAGCAUAAUCUGCUUUAUUUUUUAAUUUUUUUUUUAUUUAAAUAAGGAGAAUUCUUUCAUAUGGAAAGAGCUAAUACAAUCACAUAUUUGAAAGGAGAAACAAUAGGUACUGAAACGAGGAGAAGGGCAAUAAAGAGUGUGCCGCAACUGGCCUGGUGAUUCCGUGAUUCGAAUUCCAGUCCGAGUAAAAGUUUCCAAAAAAUAUAAACAAGGUUGCACGUUACACAAUUAUCCAUCGUCUGCCCUUUCAAAUAUCUGGUCUACAUGAAAAGACAAAGAGAGGAAAGGCCAAAAAAAAUUUACUAUACAGGUCAUGGAGUUAAAAGCUUUAAGGAGGACAAUAUCCCCUUGAGAAACAACAAAUGCAAUUUAUACAGAACCAGAGGGAGGAUUCCAGCUAAGGACAAAUGCCUCGAGACAUGCUAAAGGGUGAGCGCCUCACUGCUGCAGCUGUGAUUCCUGGGGACAUCUGGAGCAGCCAGAACAAGCCACUAAACCAAGGGAGUGUCUAUGGCCACUGCAAAACCCGGUGGUUUUUGAAUUAAAAUAAACAACAAGAACAGCUGGACUCUACUGUCUCUUUUAAGCUUCAGCAAAAUGCUCCUUUUCUGUCCACGGGCCACAACUAAGCACGCUGGUGGCUGUCCUAAAUUAAAUUUUAUUCACAAAUGCAACUUCCUUAUGAAGAAACUGGGUUGCUGAAUAAAAAAUAACCAGUGCUACAAGGAAUUAACCUGUGCUUAACCAGCCUGGAGCAAAAGGGAGGGCUAAGAAAAUGCAACAGAAGGAGGGCCUGGCAUGCAGGGAUGCUGGCUGCAACGUGACUGGAGUAGCCAAGAGGUGAGACACAGCAAAAACUCUGGGCUUAUUUUGAAUAGCUAUCUAUAAAUACACAGGAACCACAGGGCAGCUUGUGGCUUUGCAGCAUUCCUGCAAGGAAGGUGUUGAUGGGGUGAAUGCCACACACAAGGGAGUGCAACAAGGGCAGCAAGCACAUCCAGAGGUGCUGACACUGCACAGCUGGCACAGCCAGGAGCAAGCUAUGGAACAUCAACAGCAAUACCUGUGGCACUGGUGACUGUGCUGCUUCUGCUUGUUUAUUUAAAGUAUACUGGAGUGCCUUUUUUUCCCCCACUUUUUUUUUUUCUUCCCAGACUUCGAUGUUGAUUUGUUUUUAAAUCAAGAGUUAACAGCAGAAGUGGUGAGGAAAGCAGCACUGACUGGAGCUGGCCAUGACUCACUGUGUGACAGGGAACUGAGCACACGGGUGCUUCAGACCCUCUGCUGAACACGAGCAGCAGAGUCAGCCUCUGAACAUUCCUGCUGGGAAGAUGGGCUCCACCUUUCCCUCCCACUGCAGCCUGCACCUUUCCCAGCAGGAGCCUGCCAUUUGGUAGCUGACUUCCAGUCAAAGCAAAAGCAACUCACAAAGGAAUAAAUCAGCAAUGAAUCAACCCUUCAGCAGUGCAGACAGCAAGCAGAAGGACCCUCUGCAACCCUAUUGGUACAUUCUGCACAUCUCCAUCCUCCUCUCCACGCUGGAUUUUUAUCAGCAUUCCAGCUCCCUUGGCAUUUCUGCUCCUUUGAGGAUCAGAGGCUUUUUCCUUUUGACUCCAGAGCACCACAAACUGCACUAACCUUGGACUAGCUUUAAACAAACAAACAAACAAACAAACAAGCAAACAAACAAACAAGCAAAAAUAUAUGCCAGAGAAGGAUAUUGCACCGUAGAAAUUUGGGCUCUAAAACUGCUUUCCAUCACACAAAACUCCACUAAGUGAGAGAGAGUCUUGCCAACUGCAGCUGACAGUCACGCAAAGUUGAGAAAUGGAAUGAAGCUCACAUGCAUUUCUUGGCCUUUCCUGCACAGAAUAAUUCAGACAUAAUAUAUAAAUAGAGCAGUGAAACAAUUACUUUUUCACCUAGACCUACAACAUCAAAUACGUAUAAAUAAAUUCUAGUGUUUUAUUCUGUUGGGGGAAGGAAUGGAGGGAUUAAAAGAGAAACAAGGGUGACCUUUUUCAACAGGAAGUUUUGUAGUUCUGAUGGCAUUUACACCAGAGGGACUGCAGUAACUUGGAUCUUGCAAUAACCCAGUUUCUCCAACACGUUUGACCAUUUUGAAGUCACACAGGUGGGAGGAAGGAGGUUAGUGUCUUUGUAAAGCUGAAGUAGUGUGUCUAGAGUAGGGAAGAGAUGAGAAGAGGGGGGCUCAGGUAAGUCUCUUUAGCCAUUAGUUAGAUUCUGGGCUCAUAUUAGCUAGGGCCAGCUGGGCAGAAGGAUAAUAAAAAAAUCCCAAACAGACAAUUCUGCUGUUAAUGGUAUUUCAAGGGAGAAAACAGAAACGAGGGUGGGAUGACUUACUGGAGGUGCAAUCUUUGGAAAACAAUGGGAGCAGGACUAGCAGAUGAGGAUGCAGAUCUGGGAGAUGUCUGAAGGUUGGGGAAAUAUUUGUCACUAAAUCUCAAACCCUGUACUUUAAGGAGGAUGCUAGAGAGAUGCUGGCACACUCUGCUCUGAAAUUAAAAUCCAUAAAACCUAAGAAAAAAAGAGCUCUUAUAUUUUCUUAAAGUACCAUCCUAUCCCUUUCCCUUCGGGUUCUCUGCCAUGAUCCAUGGGGACACCUGUGGAGAGGGGACAUUACUAUGCCUAAGCUAGUUUAGGUCUCUAAGCUCUUUGAAGCUACUGUAUAAAAAUCAUAUUUAUGCCUAGCUUAAAACUUCAAAUGCAUCCUUACAAAGUUACAAAGGAUCUUUUUCCAGAAAGGGAAGAGGGGGGGGGAAAAAAAAAAAAGCAAACGAAGAACCCCCCCCCCCCCCCCCCCCCCCCCCCCCCCCCCCCCCCCCCCCCCCCCCCCCCCCCCCCCCCCCCCCCCCCCCCCCCCCC
Ficedula albicollis (Collared flycatcher) is the source of this 3874-nucleotide long non-coding RNA. NCBI's taxonomy places the organism in Eukaryota, Metazoa, Chordata, Aves, Passeriformes, Muscicapidae. The record is from Ensembl.